This 208-nucleotide ribosomal RNA is filed under the name Sharpea azabuensis. RNAcentral describes it as "16S rRNA. Bacterial SSU". It matches the Rfam family "Bacterial small subunit ribosomal RNA", at positions 1 to 215 of the family's 1533-position model. The record is from RNAcentral. Lineage: Bacteria; Bacillati; Bacillota; Erysipelotrichia; Erysipelotrichales; Coprobacillaceae.
GACGAUGGAGAGUUUGAUCCUGGCUCAGGAUGAACGCUGGCGGCGUGCCUAAUACAUGCAAGUCGGACGGAGCGCUUCGGCGCUCAGUGGCGAACGGGUGAGUAGCACAUGGGCAACCUGCCCUUCAGAGGGGGACAACAGCUGGAAACGGCUGCUAAGACCGCAUAGGCGCGGACGGGACAUCCCGUCCACGUUAAACGUCCUUUCG